ACGUAGGGGACGAGCGGUGUCCGGAUUUACUGGGCGUAAAGGGCGCGUAGGCGGUCAUUUAAGUCAGCUGUGAAAUGGUUUGGCUUAACCGGAUCAUGCGGUUGAAACUGGAUGACUGGAGUGCUGGAGAGGAAAGUGGAAUUCCCAGUGUAGCGGUGAAAUGCGUAGAUAUUGGGAAGAACACCAGUGGCGAAGGCGACUCUCUGGCCAGUACCUGACGCUGAGGCGCGAAAGCUAGGGGAGCAAACGG
This 250-nucleotide ribosomal RNA is filed under the name uncultured prokaryote. RNAcentral describes it as "partial 16S rRNA". It matches the Rfam family "Bacterial small subunit ribosomal RNA", at positions 525 to 775 of the family's 1533-position model. The record is from RNAcentral.